Molecule: RNA transcript, 2422 nt
Organism: Mus musculus (house mouse)
Lineage: Eukaryota; Metazoa; Chordata; Mammalia; Rodentia; Muridae
Gene: Cyb5r1
Gene name: cytochrome b5 reductase 1
Exons: 9
Source: RefSeq, marked validated
AAAACUGUCAUCCUUUGGGGUAGGUCUAAGUUGCAGAGAGAAGAAAGCUCUCAAAAGGAGGGCCUGAGACGGCCAAGAUACCCACGCCCUUGGACCACCUACUCCGCACGGAAGAGGGGGGGGCAUAGUCCCCGCUAGUCCUGCCUCAGUCAGGCCCUCCUCCAUAGACCACGCCCCGGAGAGCUCCGCCUCCGGGCCCGCCCCGCGGCGCAUUGUGGGAUCUUUCCGCCCCACCGGAGCGGGACGCACCUCUAGGUCAUGGGGAUCCAGCCGAGCCCGGUCUUGCUAGCCUCUCUGGGGGUGGGGCUGCUUACUCUGCUCGGCCUGGCUCUGGGUACCUACUUGGUUCGAAGAUCCCGCCGGCCGCAGGUUACUCUCCAGGACCCGGAUGAGAAGUACCUGCUGCGAUUGCUAGACAAGACGACAGUGAGCCACAACACCAGGAGGUUCCGCUUUGCCUUGCCCACCGCCCACCACAUUCUGGGGCUGCCUGUGGGUAAGCACGUCUACCUCUCUGCCCGAAUUGAUGGCAGUCUGGUCAUCAGGCCUUACACCCCUGUCACCAGUGAUGAAGACCAAGGCUAUGUAGAUCUUGUCAUCAAGGUUUAUCUGAAAGGUGUGCACCCCAAAUUUCCUGAAGGAGGGAAGAUGUCUCAAUACCUGGAUAGCCUGAAGAUUGGGGAUAUGGUGGAGUUCCGGGGGCCGAGCGGGUUGCUCAGUUAUGCUGGGAAAGAAUCUGCAUGUGUGCAUGGGUGUACCUGGGCAAAGUCUCCUGAAGCAACCAUGCUAUAUGGAAAGGCAGAUUUCACCCUGUGGAGAUUACCAGAGGAAACCUAUGCCUCUCCUUCCUUCACCAAAGACUUCCCUCUGGCCAAGGACCAAAAGAGAAAGCUUUUUAGUUCUUCCCAUGGAGACGACCCGAGUACUGUGCCCUGUCUCUGGUGAUGCUCUGGACCACUAGGGAAAUUCACCCUGGCCCCAAGCCUACCACCUUCACCAGGGGACAAUCUUCUGCCAGAGGUCUUCGUUCCGCACUCCUCCCUUGCCUGCGCUGCCUCUGAAUCUUCCAGGCUGUGUGGGAUCACUGGGCCCUUAAGUGUGGCUUCUGUGCCUGCACUGACUGAGAAGCAGACAGACAUCCCAGCGCCAUUGUCCUUCCUGAGUAAUUGUCCCGGUCUGUUAAACUCAAACCUCCACUCAAGCCCGUGCCAGGAUCAGAUUUCAUAGCAGCUGCUAAACAGCCUAGGGCAUGCUUUCUGUUCUGUUUGUUUACUUAGUUCCUGUUUUAAAUUGACUCUAAUUCUGCACUUGGCUUCCCAGGGAAUUUUAAUAUUCAGCCCAACAAAAAAUCUCCACCUGAACUGCGAGUGGCGAAGAAAUUGGGAAUGAUUGCUGGUGGGACAGGAAUCACCCCAAUGCUGCAGCUGAUCCGGGCCAUCUUGAAAGUCCCUGAAGAUCCAACCCAGUGCUUUCUGCUUUUUGCCAACCAGACUGAAAGGGAUAUAAUCCUGCGGGAGGACCUAGAGGAACUUCAGGCCCAGUAUCCUAAUCGCUUUAAGCUCUGGUUCACUCUGGACUCUCCUCCAGAAGACUGGACCUACAGCAAGGGCUUUGUUACGGCUGACAUGAUCCAGGAGCACCUGCCUGCCCCAGCAGAGGAUGUGCUGCUGCUGCUCUGUGGACCACCACCCAUGGUGCAGCUGGCCUGCCACCCUAACUUGGAUAAGCUGGGCUAUUCACAAAAGAUGCGAUUCACCUACUGAGCUUCGCAAAGCCUCCCUCACCCCAUGUGUGCAGUUGUUUCUAGUCGAUUCUUGAAUACCAAGAGGCCCUAGGGCCUUUGCUGAGAGCAUCAGCCUUCUGUGUCUCAUCCCGGAAUCUGGGUGCUUGCAGAAACAACACUCCCUCAGCUAUGGUGGAUGCAGGUCAAGGCUAAGUCACUCCCUUGAAGCUUCCUUUAUCCUAACUAAUGUCCUUGUGAUAAAAGGUCCAGAUGAGGCUCAAGGAGCAGUCUCUAGAGCCAGAAAGAAGGAAGUGUGUGUACAUUUGUUAUGAGGCUGCCUAGUUUCUGAGAGCAUUAUGGUCACCUCUGUGUCUGUAAUGAAAGCAAUGGACAGGGCAAUGCAUUUCGCUCCGUGUUCAGCACUUCAUCCACUACUUAGAUGAGUACAGGUUGAGUGCGCUUAUAGACACAGUCCUACAGAAACUGUAGGAAGGGAAUUAUUUUCCGGAAUUCUAGACCUCAGAGAAAGGAGGCUGGUGUGUGUGUGUGUGUGUGUGUGUGUGUGUGUGUGUGUGUGUGUGUAUCUCAGGCCCUGCCCAGGAUAGCGUGAAAUGAUUACUCAUAACUUAAGAUUGCUGCCUGUACAAAGUGUGUCUGGCUGUUCAAAUAAAUGGAGCCGAGGCCCUAAUGAUCUCAAGG